This 215-nucleotide ribosomal RNA is filed under the name Turicibacter sanguinis. Its description in RNAcentral is "partial 16S ribosomal RNA". It matches the Rfam family "Bacterial small subunit ribosomal RNA", at positions 1 to 226 of the family's 1533-position model. Lineage: Bacteria; Bacillati; Bacillota; Erysipelotrichia; Erysipelotrichales; Turicibacteraceae. The record is from RNAcentral.
UAUAUUUGAGAGUUUGAUCCUGGCUCAGGAUGAACGCUGGCGGCGUGCCUAACACAUGCAAGUCGAGCGAACCCUUCGGGGUGAGCGGCGGACGGGUGAGUAACGCGUGGGUAACCUGCCCUGUACACACGGAUAACAUACCGAAAGGUAUGCUAAUACGGGAUAACAUAUGAGAGUCGCAUGGCUUUUGUAUCAAAGCUCCGGCGGUACAGGAU